UAUAAGUGCAGUUGUGGAUUUCCGUAUUCAAUGUUUGACCGUUUGUCUUAUUUAAAAAAUAUGAUUAGUAUUUUUGUGAUAUUAGAUAAUAAAACAUGAAUAAACUUUAUGUGACUAUUUUUUAUUUUUUAUAAAAUUUUUAAAUAAGACGGACGUUCAAACAUUAGAUAUAAAAACUCACAACUGUACUUAUA
Non-coding RNA from Oryza meridionalis, 194 nucleotides. The record is from Rfam. Lineage: Eukaryota; Viridiplantae; Streptophyta; Magnoliopsida; Poales; Poaceae.